AUGAAAAUGAUGAAUAGGAAAAGUAAAGCGACAAGACAGUCCAGAGAGCAUCGGGAUGGUGGAACGAUGUCUGUCAAAGCGUUUGAAGUGCGCCUAUGGAGUGCCUCUUAAUCGAGGACGGCUGAUUCACGUUAAGAAUUGAAAGGGAGGCCAGGCCUAAGUAAAGUGGAACCGCGCGCAAGCGUCUUUACA
RNAcentral lists this non-coding RNA (192 nucleotides) under Clostridiales bacterium. RNAcentral describes it as "T-box sequence". It matches the Rfam family "T-box leader". From Rfam's summary of the family: Uncharged tRNA acts as the effector for transcription antitermination of genes in the T-box leader family. T-boxes are found upstream of many aminoacyl-tRNA synthetase genes and some amino acid biosynthetic genes usually in Gram-positive bacteria. The anticodon of a specific tRNA base pairs to a specifier sequence within the T-box motif, and the NCCA acceptor tail of the tRNA base pairs to a conserved bulge in the T-box antiterminator hairpin. Lineage: Bacteria; Bacillati; Bacillota; Clostridia; Eubacteriales. The record is from RNAcentral.